GACGAACCGUACGAACGUUAUUCGGAAUUACUGGGCUUAAAGGGUGCGUAGGCGGCGCAGUAAGUUGGGUGUGAAAUCCCUCGGCUUAACCGAGGAAUUGCGCCCAAAACUACUGUGCUCGAGGGAGAUAGAGGUGAGCGGAACUUCCGGUGGAGCGGUGAAAUGUGUUGAUAUCGGAAGGAACGCCGGUGGCGAAAGCGACACACUGGAUCUUGUCUGACGCUGAGGCACGAAAGCCAGGGGAGCGAACGGG
This 253-nucleotide ribosomal RNA is filed under the name uncultured bacterium. RNAcentral describes it as "partial 16S ribosomal RNA". It matches the Rfam family "Bacterial small subunit ribosomal RNA", at positions 524 to 776 of the family's 1533-position model. The record is from RNAcentral.